Molecule: ribosomal RNA, 468 nt
Filed under: uncultured bacterium
Lineage: Bacteria
Description: partial 16S ribosomal RNA
Rfam family: Bacterial small subunit ribosomal RNA
Source: RNAcentral
GACGAACGCUGGCGGCGGGCUUAACACAUGCAAGUCGAACGGAAAGGCCCUGCUUUUGUGGGGUGCUCGAGUGGCGAACGGGUGAGUAACACGUGAGUAACCUGCCCUUGACUUUGGGAUAACUUCAGGAAACUGGGGCUAAUACCGGAUAGGAGCUCCUGCUGCAUGGUGGGGGUUGGAAAGUUUCGGCGGUUGGGGAUGGACUCGCGGCUUAUCAGCUUGUUGGUGGGGUAGUGGCUUACCAAGGCUUUGACGGGUAGCCGGCCUGAGAGGGUGACCGGCCACAUUGGGACUGAGAUACGGACCAGACUCCUACGAGAGGCAGCAGUGGGGAAUAUUGCACAAUGGGCGGAAGCGUGAUGCAGCAACGCCGCGUGCGGGAUGACGGCCUUCGGGUUGUAAACCGCUUUCGCCUGUGACGAAGCGUGAGUGACGGUAAUGGGUAAAGAAGCACCGGCUAACUACGUG